Molecule: ribosomal RNA, 497 nt
Filed under: uncultured bacterium
Lineage: Bacteria
Description: partial 16S ribosomal RNA
Rfam family: Bacterial small subunit ribosomal RNA
Source: RNAcentral
GAUGAACGCUGGCGGCGUGCCUAAUACAUGCAAGUCGAGCGAACGGAUGAGGAGCUUGCUCCUCUGACGUUAGCGGCGGACGGGUGAGUAACACGUGGAUAACCUACCUAUAAGACUGGGAUAACUUCGGGAAACCGGAGCUAAUACCGGAUAAUAUAUUGAACCGCAUGGUUCAAUAGUGAAAGACGGUUUUGCUGUCACUUAUAGAUGGAUCCGCGCCGCAUUAGCUAGUUGGUAAGGUAACGGCUUACCAAGGCGACGAUGCGUAGCCGACCUGAGAGGGUGAUCGGCCACACUGGAACUGAGACACGGUCCAGACUCCUACGGGAGGCAGCAGUAGGGAAUCUUCCGCAAUGGGCGAAAGCCUGACGGAGCAACGCCGCGUGAGUGAUGAAGGUCUUCGGAUCGUAAAACUCUGUUAUUAGGGAAGAACAAAUGUGUAAGUAACUAUGCACGUCUUGACGGUACCUAAUCAGAAAGCCACGGCUAACUACGUG